AACGAACGCUGGCGGCGUGCUUAACACAUGCAAGUCGAACGGAAAGGCCGCUUUCGGGGGGUCCUCGGGGGGCGAACGGGUGAGUAACACGUGAGUAACCUGCACUUGACUUUGGGAUAAGUUCUGGAAACGGGGGCUAAUACCGGAUAGGAGAUCCUGCUGCAUGGUGGGGGCUGGAAAGUUUCGGCGGUUGGGGAUGGGCUCGCGGCUUCUAAGGAUGUGGGUGGUGGCGUGGCUUACCCAGGCUUUGGCGGGUAGCCGGCCUGGGAGGGUGACCGGCCACAUUGACACUGAGAUACGGCCCCGGCCCCGACGGGUGGCAGCAGUGGGGAAGAUUGCUCUAGGAGUGGGAGCCUGAUGCAGCAACGCCGUGUGCGGGAUGACGGUCUUCGGGUUGUAGUCCGCUUUCGCUCUUGACGAAGAUUUGUGUGACGGUAGUGGGUAAAUAAGCACCGGCUAACUCCGUG
Molecule: ribosomal RNA, 467 nt
Filed under: uncultured bacterium
Lineage: Bacteria
Description: partial 16S ribosomal RNA
Rfam family: Bacterial small subunit ribosomal RNA
Source: RNAcentral